RNAcentral lists this ribosomal RNA (1285 nucleotides) under uncultured prokaryote. RNAcentral's name for it is "partial 16S ribosomal RNA". It matches the Rfam family "Bacterial small subunit ribosomal RNA", at positions 102 to 1397 of the family's 1533-position model. The record is from RNAcentral.
ACGGGUGAGUAAUAUAUAGCUAACCUGCCCCUUAGAGAGGGACAACAGUUGGAAACGACUGCUAAUACCUCAUACUCCUUUCUACCAUAAGGUAGAUUGGGAACGCUCCGGCGCUAAGGGAUGGGGCUUUACGGUAUCAGGUAGUUGGUGGGGUAAAAGCCUACCAAGCCAAUGACGCCUAGCUGGUCUGAGAGGAUGAUCAGCCACACUGGAACUGAGACACGGUCCAGACUCCUACGGGAGGCAGCAGUGGGGAAUAUUGCACAAUGGAGGAAACUCUGAUGCAGCAACGCCGCGUGGAGGAUGACGCAUUUCGGUGUGUAAACUCCUUUUAUAUCCCAAGAUAAUGACGGUAGGAUAUGAAUAAGCACCGGCUAACUCCGUGCCAGCAGCCGCGGUAAUACGGAGGGUGCAAGCGUUAAUCGGAAUUACUGGGCGUAAAGCGCGCGUAGGCGGUUGUUUAAGUUGGAUGUGAAAGCCUACGGCUCAACCGUAGAACUGCAUCCAAAACUAUCAGGCUAGAGUGUGGGAGAGGAGGAUGGAAUUAGUUGUGUAGGGGUAAAAUCCGUAGAGAUAACUAGGAAUACCAAAAGCGAAGGCAAUCUUCUGGAACACUACUGACGCUGAGGCGCGAAAGCGUGGGGAGCAAACGGGAUUAGAUACCCCGGUAGUCCACGCAGUAAACGAUGAAUGUUAGUCGUCGGGUAGCUAGUCUAUUCGGUGAUGCAGCUAACGCAUUAAACAUUCCGCCUGGGGAGUACGGUCGCAAGAUUAAAACUCAAAGGAAAUAGGACGGGGCACCCGGCACAAGGUGGUGGAGCAUGUGGUUUAAUUUCGAAGAUACGGCGAAGAACCUUACCUAGCCUUGACAUAUUUGAAAAAUCCCACCAGAGAUUGGAGGAGUGCCUUCGGGAGCUAAUUUACAGGUGCUGCACGGCUGUCGUCAGCUCGUGUCGUGAGAUGUUGGGUUAAGUCCCGCAACGAGCGCAACCCUCGCUAAUAGUUAAUAACGAUUCGGUCGAUGACUCUAUUAGGACUGCCUUCGCAAGAAGGAGGAAGGUGAGGGACGACGUCAAGUCAUCAUGGCCCUUACGUGUAGGGCUACAAACGUGCUACAAUGGGCAGGACAAUGAGAAGCAAUACCGCGAGGUGGAGCAAAUCUAUAAACCUGUUCUCAGUUCGGAUUGUAGUCUGCAACUCGACUACAUGAAGCUGGAAUCACUAGUAAUCGUAGAUCAGCUAUGCUACGGUGAAUACGUUCCCGGGUCUUGUACUCACCGCCCGU